CACAUGCAAGUCGAACGAUAACGGAUUCCAGUUUACUAAAAUUAGUCAGCUAAGUGGCGCACGGGUGAGUAAUAUAUAGUUAAACCUGCCCCAAGAAAGAGAAUAAUUGAUGGAAACGUCUUGUAACUCUCUAUAUGCCUUUAUCACAUAAGUGAGACAAGGGGAACAUUUAUGGCUUUGGGAUGGGACUGUACGGUAUCAGAUAGUUGGUGAGGUAAUGGCUCACCAAGUCAAUGACGCCUAACUGGUUUGAGAGGAUGAUCAGUCACACUGGAACUGAGACACGGUCCAGACUCCUACGGGAGGCAGCAGUGGGGAAUAUUGCACAAUGGAGGAAAACUCUGAUGCAGCAACGCCGCGUGGAGGAUGACACAUUUCGGUGCGUAAACUCCUUUUAAUAUGAAAAGAUAAUGACGGUAUCCUAUGAAUAAGCACCGGCUAACUCCGUGCCAGCAGCCGCGGUAAUACGGGGGGGUGCAAGCGUUACUCGGAAUCACUGGGGCGUAAAGAGCAUGUA
This 517-nucleotide ribosomal RNA is filed under the name uncultured bacterium. RNAcentral describes it as "bacterial SSU rRNA". It matches the Rfam family "Bacterial small subunit ribosomal RNA", at positions 52 to 573 of the family's 1533-position model. The record is from RNAcentral.